Molecule: ribosomal RNA, 1587 nt
Filed under: Escherichia coli
Lineage: Bacteria; Pseudomonadati; Pseudomonadota; Gammaproteobacteria; Enterobacterales; Enterobacteriaceae
Description: partial 23S ribosomal RNA
Rfam family: Bacterial large subunit ribosomal RNA
Source: RNAcentral
CUGAUGCGUUGUUGGGUAGGGGAGCGUUCUGUAAGCCUGCGAAGGUGUGCUGUGAGGCAUGCUGGAGGUAUCAGAAGUGCGAAUGCUGACAUAAGUAACGAUAAAGCGGGUGAAAAGCCCGCUCGCCGGAAGACCAAGGGUUCCUGUCCAACGUUAAUCGGGGCAGGGUGAGUCGACCCCUAAGGCGAGGCCGAAAGGCGUAGUCGAUGGGAAACAGGUUAAUAUUCCUGUACUUGGUGUUACUGCGAAGGGGGGACGGAGAAGGCUAUGUUGGCCGGGCGACGGUUGUCCCGGUUUAAGCGUGUAGGCUGGUUUUCCAGGCAAAUCCGGAAAAUCAAGGCUGAGGCGUGAUGACGAGGCACUACGGUGCUGAAGCAACAAAUGCCCUGCUUCCAGGAAAAGCCUCUAAGCAUCAGGUAACAUCAAAUCGUACCCCAAACCGACACAGGUGGUCAGGUAGAGAAUACCAAGGCGCUUGAGAGAACUCGGGUGAAGGAACUAGGCAAAAUGGUGCCGUAACUUCGGGAGAAGGCACGCUGAUAUGUAGGUGAGGUCCCUCGCGGAUGGAGCUGAAAUCAGUCGAAGAUACCAGCUGGCUGCAACUGUUUAUUAAAAACACAGCACUGUGCAAACACGAAAGUGGACGUAUACGGUGUGACGCCUGCCCGGUGCCGGAAGGUUAAUUGAUGGGGUCAGCGCAAGCGAAGCUCUUGAUCGAAGCCCCGGUAAACGGCGGCCGUAACUAUAACGGUCCUAAGGUAGCGAAAUUCCUUGUCGGGUAAGUUCCGACCUGCACGAAUGGCGUAAUGAUGGCCAGGCUGUCUCCACCCGAGACUCAGUGAAAUUGAACUCGCUGUGAAGAUGCAGUGUACCCGCGGCAAGACGGAAAGACCCCGUGAACCUUUACUAUAGCUUGACACUGAACAUUGAGCCUUGAUGUGUAGGAUAGGUGGGAGGCUUUGAAGUGUGGACGCCAGUCUGCAUGGAGCCGACCUUGAAAUACCACCCUUUAAUGUUUGAUGUUCUAACGUUGACCCGUAAUCCGGGUUGCGGACAGUGUCUGGUGGGUAGUUUGACUGGGGCGGUCUCCUCCUAAAGAGUAACGGAGGAGCACGAAGGUUGGCUAAUCCUGGUCGGACAUCAGGAGGUUAGUGCAAUGGCAUAAGCCAGCUUGACUGCGAGCGUGACGGCGCGAGCAGGUGCGAAAGCAGGUCAUAGUGAUCCGGUGGUUCUGAAUGGAAGGGCCAUCGCUCAACGGAUAAAAGGUACUCCGGGGAUAACAGGCUGAUACCGCCCAAGAGUUCAUAUCGACGGCGGUGUUUGGCACCUCGAUGUCGGCUCAUCACAUCCUGGGGCUGAAGUAGGUCCCAAGGGUAUGGCUGUUCGCCAUUUAAAGUGGUACGCGAGCUGGGUUUAGAACGUCGUGAGACAGUUCGGUCCCUAUCUGCCGUGGGCGCUGGAGAACUGAGGGGGGCUGCUCCUAGUACGAGAGGACCGGAGUGGACGCAUCACUGGUGUUCGGGUUGUCAUGCCAAUGGCACUGCCCGGUAGCUAAAUGCGGAAGAGAUAAGUGCUGAAAGCAUCUAA